UGCCCAGCAACUCCUAUCCCUACCUCCUCGUGGUACUGGCCGGGGUACGAGUAACCUAAGGGAAGA
This 66-nucleotide ribozyme is filed under the name Aedes aegypti (yellow fever mosquito). RNAcentral's name for it is "drz-agam-1 ribozyme". It matches the Rfam family "drz-agam-1 ribozyme". Lineage: Eukaryota; Metazoa; Arthropoda; Insecta; Diptera; Culicidae. The record is from Rfam by way of RNAcentral.